Molecule: ribosomal RNA, 253 nt
Filed under: uncultured prokaryote
Description: partial 16S ribosomal RNA
Rfam family: Bacterial small subunit ribosomal RNA
Source: RNAcentral
UACGUAGGUGGCAAGCGUUGUCCGGAUUUAUUGGGUUUAAAGGGUGCGUAGGCGGCCCUAUAAGUCAGUGCUGAAAUAUCCCGGCUUAACCGGGAGGGUGGCAUUGAUACUGAUGGACUUGAGUGGAGUCGAGGUAGGCGGAAUUGACGGUGUAGCGGUGAAAUGCUUAGAUAUCGUCAAGAACACCUAUUGCGAAGGCAGCUUACUAGGCUCUAACUGACACUGAUGCACGAAAGUGUGGGGAUCAAACAGG